RNAcentral lists this ribosomal RNA (488 nucleotides) under uncultured bacterium. RNAcentral's name for it is "bacterial SSU rRNA". It matches the Rfam family "Bacterial small subunit ribosomal RNA", at positions 501 to 992 of the family's 1533-position model. The record is from RNAcentral.
CUACGUGCCAGCAGCCGCGGUAAUACGGAAGGUCCAGGCGUUAUCCGGAUUUAUUGGGUUUAAAGGGAGCGUAGGCGGAUUAUUAAGUCAGUGGUGAAAGACGGUGGCUCAACCAUCGUUAGCCAUUGAAACUGGUAGUCUUGAGUGCAGACAGGGAUGCUGGAACUCGUGGUGUAGCGGUGAAAUGCUUAGAUAUCACGAUGAACUCCGAUCGCGAAGGCAGGUGUCCGGGCUGCAACUGACGCUGAGGCUCGAAAGUGUGGGUAUCAAACAGGAUUAGAUACCCUGGUAGUCCACACAGUAAACGAUGUAUACUCGCGGUUUGCGAUAUAUUGUAAGCCGCCAAGCGAAAGCAUUAAGUAUACCACCUGGGGAGUACGCCGGCAACGGUGAAACUCAAAGGAAUUGACGGGGACCCGCACAAGCGGUGGAGCAUGUGGUUUAAUUCGAUGCAACGCGAAGAACCUUACCUACUCUUGACAUCCAGA